CAGAAAUGCAUUUCAAAAACUAAAGAUGCACAGUAAUGCCACAGCCUAAAUUUGAAAAAAAGUCCCUGGUUCCUCUUUUUGAGAGGGAGACUAAAGGUUUCUUUCUGGACUCUUCAAGCAAAAUAAACAAAAUACUCACUUCGAUCUUCUGACACACACUGAAGUUUUCAGGUAAGUUUGGACUGACAGCCUUGAAACAGUUGACUGGAAAAAUCAUUAAACCUUCCACAUGGACUCUGCUUUGCCUUCAGUCUGGUUGACCCAUCUCAUGACUGUGUCCCCAGGCAGUGCUGCCUGCUGGUCCUGAUGGAUGCUGCAACAGGAUCCUGUUAUGCAGAUGGCACAGUGCUGUCAUAGAAAAUUUUCAGUCACAGCAAGAGUUGAGGAAGAUUUUUGAAGAGUGGCUCUCCCAGGUAUUCUGUGAGCGCUUCGCAUCCAGCAAGUGGCCAUUCUCUACAGAUGUUGCCUUGGCACUUAAUCAUUUUGAUAAUUCUUUCAGAAAUAAACAACCACCACAAAAAACAUUUCCCCUUCUGAUAAGUGGCUUUGAAUCGCUAGAAAGCACUUUUUUUUUUUUUCCUUUUCUGUUUGAUGUAUAGGAAGAGGUAUUUCAUCUAAACAGUAUCAUAAUCUAUGUGUUUAACACAGCAGAACAUAUCUGAAAAAGGACCUAGUGUCCAGGUCAGACUUGGGCAUCCAGGGCUGGUGUACCUGCCCUCGUACUUAAUGUUAGCACAAGCGACUGCCUAAAACCAGGUCAGGUGUGUCCAUGUGUGUCACGGUUGUACCUCUGUUUGAAGCACAGAUAUGCCAGCAGAGUGGAGGACUUUGGCUUAGCUGGUCUGCAGAGUGUGUAAAAUCUGGUCAUUUUGGGGUGC
RNAcentral lists this long non-coding RNA (878 nucleotides) under Chrysolophus pictus (golden pheasant). RNAcentral describes it as "lncRNA (ENSCPIG00010002893.1)". The record is from RNAcentral. Lineage: Eukaryota; Metazoa; Chordata; Aves; Galliformes; Phasianidae.